UAACUGCGCGCAGACGUGUGAACUGCAGGACACAUGAACACCGACGUUUUGAACGCAAAUGGCGGCUUGAAAUAAAUUUCAAGCCACGUCUGGCUGAGGGUCGGAUACAAAAUCAAAACUAAAAAAUGCUUUCUGAGUAAAAUUCUCAGGUUAAGUUUUAUCGUCAAGUUCUUUUGUGAGCUUGAUUAGAAUAUCAAUUGUAUGUUUGCUUGAGUUUGUUCUAAUAUGUAAUAUUUGUGAACAAGCAGCAGAUUUAUGUGUAACAAAAAGUCUGGAAAAAAGCGACAUUGUAUAUUGAAGUAAACAUUAAUAAAUGAAUCACAUAUACGACCUCAGAGUAGGCGAGAUUACCCGCUAAAUUUAA
This 364-nucleotide unclassified non-coding RNA is filed under the name uncultured fungus. RNAcentral's name for it is "sequence contains ITS1". The stretch from base 1 to 103 matches the Rfam family "5.8S ribosomal RNA", at positions 50 to 154 of the family's 154-position model. Lineage: Eukaryota; Fungi. The record is from RNAcentral.